GACGAACGCUGGCGGCGUGCUUAACACAUGCAAGUCGAACGGAAAGGCCCUGCUUUUGUGGGGUGCUCGAGUGGCGAACGGGUGAGUAACACGUGAGUAACCUGCCCUUGACUUUGGGAUAACUUCAGGAAACUGGGGCUAAUAUCGGAUAGGAGCUCCUGCUGCAUGGUGGGGGUUGGAAAGUUUCGGCGGUUGGGGAUGGACUCGCGGCUUAUCAGCUUGUUGGUGGGGUAGUGGCUUACCAAGGCUUUGACGGGUAGCCGGCCUGAGAGGGUGACCGGCCACAUUGGGACUGAGAUACGGCCCAGACUCCUACGGGAGGCAGCAGUGGGGAAUAUUGCACAACGGGCGGAAGCCUGAUGCAGCAACGCCGCGUGCGGGAUGACGGCCUUCGGGUUGUAAACCGCUUUCGCCUGUGACGAAGCGUGAGUGACGGUAAUGGGUAAAGAAGCACCGGCUAACUACGUG
Molecule: ribosomal RNA, 468 nt
Filed under: uncultured bacterium
Lineage: Bacteria
Description: partial 16S ribosomal RNA
Rfam family: Bacterial small subunit ribosomal RNA
Source: RNAcentral